UGUGGGUCCAAGCCUGUAGCCUCAAAUUGGAUAAUCUCUGCAGCUGAUAACAAGCAAAAGAGAAGCCAGGAAACAGACAUAAUAAAGAAGACAACAACUCUGAGU
Myotis lucifugus (little brown bat) is the source of this 105-nucleotide non-coding RNA. Lineage: Eukaryota; Metazoa; Chordata; Mammalia; Chiroptera; Vespertilionidae. The record is from Rfam.